AGACAUUCCUUUCCUCUUCCCUUUCUUCGCACCUUUUCUCUUCGCAGAUUCUUCCUUCUCCGCAGUAAGCACCGCAGCAAGCAGGGAGGAUCUCGUCUUCCCUCUCCACGGCGAGUAGGGAGGAUCUCGUCUUCCCUCUCCACAGCGAGUAGGGAGGAUCUCUUCUUCUCUCUCUGGUUUCAUUUCUCUCCGCAAGUUGAUCCCCAAACCCUAGCCAAAAUAGCGAUCUCCAAUUGAAGAUCCAAGCGUAAUUCUGCGAUGCGACACUUCUUCCUCCACAUCAUUGGCAUCUUUACCGUGGUAUUAUUUAUCCUCCUCCCUUCCACCGCCACAGUGCCGGUGGUGGCCGAAACGGAGUAGAAUUUGUCAUCAUCGUCAUCUUCGGCCUCAGAUCUAUACUUACAUGGCCUCCAUUUUUCGCGAUCGGUGUUGACCCUCUGAUCACACGCCUUAAACACGUGAGUGGAGCUGAUACAAAAGUAGGUGGAGACCACGCCGCCAUUGCCUCUGACUACACCUCGUACGCGCACAUCUCAAUCUAGAGAGCUUGAAGCAGAUGCGGGUCUUCAUUGAGUUAGCUCACAACCUCUCCCUUCUCCUUGAUGUCUCCUUUCUUUGCCUGAACCAUUUAAGCGAGAUCUCACAAUAUUGUGGAAAAUUGAUAUGGAUGGGAAGGUGAAUGGAGCAGUUGAGAUUUGCUUGGGGUCUUUUCAUCGUUAUGCAAAUAUAUGAAUUUCUCACAAACCUUUAUCAAGGAGAAGUUUGACCUUCAUCCGUGGAAGAAGGAAAAGUGCACUAAACAUUGUCAUUAUUGGCAAAAUCUUAGAGGAAAGAUUGAGAUCAAGUGUAUCGAGAACAUCACAAGUCGUCAUGUUACCUUUUGCAAGAGAACGAAUGGGCUGCUCAAGAAAGCCUAUGAAUUGUCUGUGCUCUGACGUCGCACUAAUCGGCUUCUCCGCCCACGGCCGCUUGUAUGAGUACUCCAAUAACAGGUGACAUGUACUUGGAUUUUUAUGAAUCAAUAUAAUGGUUGAAGAUGAUCCAUCUAAUCGAGUUUUUAUUUUACAAGAAUUUGUUAGUAUUACAAUUUAAUAUUUUGAGUGUAUUUGUAGGUUGUUUUGGAGGUAAAAGAUUUAUCAUUAGUAUUGCAUUUGUAAAUUUGACUCAAAUGAGUAUUGGAUGAAUAAAAAUAUCUAUGAGUCCUUUAAA
Long non-coding RNA from Zingiber officinale, 1209 nucleotides. RefSeq lists it as uncharacterized. The transcript is spliced from 4 exons. The record is from RefSeq and is a predicted model, not a curated record. Lineage: Eukaryota; Viridiplantae; Streptophyta; Magnoliopsida; Zingiberales; Zingiberaceae.